ACGGCCAUACCACAUUGAAAACACCGGUUCUCGUCCGAUCACCGAAGUUAAGCAAUGUCGGGUCCGGUCAGUACUUGGGAGGGUGACCACCUGGGAACACCGGGUGCUGUAGGCU
RNAcentral lists this ribosomal RNA (115 nucleotides) under Cordylochernes scorpioides. The record is from RNAcentral. Lineage: Eukaryota; Metazoa; Arthropoda; Arachnida; Pseudoscorpiones; Chernetidae.